Cavia porcellus (domestic guinea pig) is the source of this 1815-nucleotide long non-coding RNA. RefSeq lists it as uncharacterized. The record is from RefSeq and is a predicted model, not a curated record. NCBI's taxonomy places the organism in Eukaryota, Metazoa, Chordata, Mammalia, Rodentia, Caviidae. The transcript is spliced from 4 exons.
CAGCGUCCUCAGCGGACGACCCAGCCCGCAGCCAGUACCAUACCGCACCAUCGCUGAGCCCCAAAUCGGUAGCCUGUGCUCGGGUUGGGGGGGCGGUGCCGGACCAAGCCCCAGGGGAGAGCCCAGCGCCGCUCGACCGCACUGACCUGAGGCGCCCGCGGGACAGGAAGUGGCUGCCGCGAGAGGACUUUGGAGUGUGGGUACACUGGAAAGAGCUGCAUCAGCUAUGCUGAACUAUGAGGUAGAGGCAGUUUGCUGAGGAUGGAAAACUACAAGCCAGGAUGACCGUGACAUUGCCACACUGGACUUGGACUGCCCAAACCCAUAUCUUUAUAGAAAUAUCCAUGGACAGUGUUGGAGCAUUUGACCAGACCCAUGGUGAGCUCAUAAUUCCCUAAUGAAGACUUAUGCAUAAAGAAGUGUGUGGUAAGGGCUGAGAUGGUCCAGUGCCCAAAGAAGAGGAAGGAGGAGGAAAUGUUGCACUGCAGUAACCAAGAAGCUCAUGACCGUUAUGGAUUACAACAAGGAAGUCACUGGUCACUCAUCCUACAUACCCAUGAGCAUCUUUCCAAUUGGAGGUUCUCCCUGGUGAGAGAUGAAGGAGUCGCUUCACAGCCCCCUGGCUGAUUACCUAAUCUGUGUGUCCCUCUGUGCUGAGAGUCUUCCCUGGGAUUUCUGUGCCUCAUUAGCGACACCACAAUCAUCAGCAACAGCCACAACAGCAGCCUUGAUAAUAAGUGAGGCUUGGAGCUGCUGCAUUUCAGGCGUCACACUCAAUCCUGGAAAUGUAUGAUUUCAUCUAAGUAUCUCUGAGCCCUGCAAGGCCUUACACCCACUUCACAGACAAGGACAUGCAGCCGGGAGGCCAAGAGACUUGUUUGGAGGUUAAGCAGAGAUGUGAAGCCCAGUCUGUGACCCUGACAUCUCUGCUCUUCCCCUCCCCCUGCGCCCCAGAGCACUGCCUCCUGUGGCCAUCCUUCCCGGGACAGCCUAUUUCAAACCCCUGCGGUCAUGGCCUUCCGGGCUGCCUCUGCCCUAUCUUGGUCCUGUGAAUAUAUCGACCUUGUGCAGGCUGUGUGCUUCGCAGGCUCCCCCAAACUUCCCAAACGUUGUUUUUUAUCUUUCUUACAGCCAGAGGCAUGAGCCCCACUCUGCUAAGAAAGCAAAAUCUUAGAAGCAAAGAAAACUCCAACACUAUCUGUCUUUGGAGAUUGGUGUGAAUCCUGAGAUUUACUGCCUGCUAAGGAAAGCCACUUCGGGCCUUCAGUGCCAGGUGAACAGUGCCGGUCACGCUGCCCAGUGUGGAGCAGCACUGCCACCGUGUGGCUGAAUGGCUGCACCUGGCCAGCUGCAGUGUGGGGAAAGGCCAGGGAAGGUGCAUCAUCCGUGGUUCUUGCAUUUUUCUUGUGUUUACUUUAUGUUUAUUGAGUACCUACUGUAUGCCAUGUACUGUAUAAUUGACACUGCUGCUGAGAUUGAUCAUCUGGAUAGUGCACUAAAAUGUUAACAUUUAGUUCUAGAGAUGGUUAACACUGAUUAAUCAUUUGUUUGGGGUACUUGAUUACUCAUCUAGGGGUGACUCAGAAAUUGAUAAAGACACAUUAGCUUCGUGCAGUGGAGUUUUCUUUGCUUCUAAGAUUUGGGGAGACAGCAGGUCCGUAGAGAAUUCAGACUGCACAAUUACUUGCUGUCCUGACAGAGGGUCCACCUCAAUUACUGUGAAAGGAUGGAGAGCUGUAUUUUUAUGAAUACAUUUUCUUUCUUUUAUAAAAUAGUGUAAUACUGUAUUAAAAGCAUAUUAUGGAAACUUAGAAA